RNAcentral lists this ribosomal RNA (1016 nucleotides) under uncultured bacterium. RNAcentral describes it as "bacterial SSU rRNA". It matches the Rfam family "Bacterial small subunit ribosomal RNA", at positions 357 to 1376 of the family's 1533-position model. The record is from RNAcentral.
AGGAAUAUUGGUCAAUGGGCGGAAGCCUGAACCAGCCAAGUCGCGUGGAGGAAGACGGCCCUACGGGUUGUAAACUCCUUUUACCUGGGAAUAACGGGCGCUACGCGUAGCGCUGUGCAAGUACCGGGAGAAUAAGCAUCGGCUAAUUCCGUGCCAGCAGCCGCGGUAAUACGGAAGAUGCGAGCGUUAUCCGGAUUUAUUGGGUUUAAAGGGAGCGUAGGCGGAUUGUUAAGUCAGUUGUGAAAGUUUGCGGCUCAACCGUAAAAUUGCAGUUGAUACUGGCAGUCUUGAGUGCAGUAGAGGUGGGCGGAAUUCGUGGUGUAGCGGUGAAAUGCUUAGAUAUCACGAAGAACUCCGAUUGCGAAGGCAGCUCACUGGAGUGUAACUGACGCUGAUGCUCGAAAGUGUGGGUAUCAAACAGGAUUAGAUACCCUGGUAGUCCACACAGUAAACGAUGAAUACUCGCUGUUUGCGAUAUACUGCAAGCGGCCAAGCGAAAGCGUUAAGUAUUCCACCUGGGGAGUACGCCGGCAACGGUGAAACUCAAAGGAAUUGACGGGGGCCCGCACAAGCGGAGGAACAUGUGGUUUAAUUCGAUGAUACGCGAGGAACCUUACCCGGGCUUAAAUUGCAAAUGAAUUAUGGGGAAACCCAUACGCCGCAAGGCAUUUGUGAAGGUGCUGCAUGGUUGUCGUCAGCUCGUGCCGUGAGGUGUCGGCUUAAGUGCCAUAACGAGCGCAACCCUUAUCUUCAGUUACUAACAGGUCAUGCUGAGGACUCUGGAGAGACUGCCGUCGUAAGAUGUGAGGAAGGUGGGGAUGACGUCAAAUCAGCACGGCCCUUACGUCCGGGGCUACACACGUGUUACAAUGGGGGGUACAGAAGGCCGCUACCUGGUGACAGGAUGCCAAUCCCAAAAACCUCUCUCAGUUCGGAUCGAAGUCUGCAACCCGACUUCGUGAAGCUGGAUUCGCUAGUAAUCGCGCAUCAGCCAUGGCGCGGUGAAUACGUUCCCG